Molecule: ribosomal RNA, 42 nt
Filed under: Lonchocarpus brachyanthus
Lineage: Eukaryota; Viridiplantae; Streptophyta; Magnoliopsida; Fabales; Fabaceae
Description: partial 28S ribosomal RNA
Source: RNAcentral
CGAGACCUCAGGUCAGACGGGGCUGGCCGAUGAGUGGAAGCA